RNAcentral lists this ribosomal RNA (578 nucleotides) under Salmonella enterica. RNAcentral's name for it is "bacterial SSU rRNA". It matches the Rfam family "Bacterial small subunit ribosomal RNA", at positions 1 to 568 of the family's 1533-position model. Lineage: Bacteria; Pseudomonadati; Pseudomonadota; Gammaproteobacteria; Enterobacterales; Enterobacteriaceae. The record is from RNAcentral.
AAAUUGAAGAGUUUGAUCAUGGCUCAGAUUGAACGCUGGCGGCAGGCCUAACACAUGCAAGUCGAACGGUAACAGGAAGCAGCUUGCUGCUUUGCUGACGAGUGGCGGACGGGUGAGUAAUGUCUGGGAAACUGCCUGAUGGAGGGGGAUAACUACUGGAAACGGUGGCUAAUACCGCAUAACGUCGCAAGACCAAAGAGGGGGACCUUCGGGCCUCUUGCCAUCAGAUGUGCCCAGAUGGGAUUAGCUUGUUGGUGAGGUAACGGCUCACCAAGGCGACGAUCCCUAGCUGGUCUGAGAGGAUGACCAGCCACACUGGAACUGAGACACGGUCCAGACUCCUACGGGAGGCAGCAGUGGGGAAUAUUGCACAAUGGGCGCAAGCCUGAUGCAGCCAUGCCGCGUGUAUGAAGAAGGCCUUCGGGUUGUAAAGUACUUUCAGCGGGGAGGAAGGUGUUGUGGUUAAUAACCACAGCAAUUGACGUUACCCGCAGAAGAAGCACCGGCUAACUCCGUGCCAGCAGCCGCGGUAAUACGGAGGGUGCAAGCGUUAAUCGGAAUUACUGGGCGUAAAGCGC